CUUCACAUUGUCUGAUGGCGCGAGGUAGAUCAGCAUCUCCGCCCAGAAAUCCGCCAGCACAUUCCACCGGGUGCCCUCCUCCAUUCCCUCCAGCUGCUUCCCCAGCCUCAUGCCCUUGUGGAAUAUCUCCUCUUUAUUUGAUUCACAAUUCUUUAUUGAUUCCUCUACAACUGCAAUAAACACACGUGAUGUGUCAUAAUGGUGCCCAGGAAGAAGCUUUGGUUCGCUCACCACAAGGUAUGCACAGUAUUUGGACAGUUUUGUGGCGACGUCGAGGUCACGCUGAUUGAGGUCUCCCCUCGCCAGCCCCUCGCCAUGUCAAGAUGAUCUGUGUCUGGUUCUCCUUUUGCUCCGAGCUGCCUGUGCCAUAGUGCCUACAUGCCCACAAGAGCUCAUCUGCCCUGUGAGACCUCAGUGAUGACUGCCCAUUUGUUAGAACACCCUGGGUACAUUCAAGAGACUGAACAAGUGCCUCCUUUACUUCUGCAGACAGCUCUACGGGUUUCCCAGGCUUGCAGGCACUCCGUCGAACAAGAUGAAUGACCUCAGAGUCUUCAAUACACUACUAGAAAACUCGGUAUUAAUACCGGUUCGUAGGGUGCAUAUCUCCUAAAAAUGUAUUCGGGAUUAAUCCGUCGAGAUAAAAGGGGGAUCUUUUAUCACGGGUCCCAAACCAGGAUAUAAGACCCCUUUUAGUCCCGGUUGGUAUUAUCAACCUGGAGAAAACGGUCGCCCCGCCAGGGGCUACCUCGCGCCCCUUUUAUCCCGGUUGGUAUUACCAACCGGGACUAAAUGGUUUUGCAAAUUUUUUUUUGCAAAAAUAAAAAAAUAUCGGGGGGUCGCACAUCGCAAGUCACGCGAUUUUUUACGCAAAAUAUGCGCGUGCGCGAUCUGUGAGAUUCGAACCCAUGACGCAAAGGCGACCAUGAACAACAGGAUGAUAACAGUGAGCACCACAAAUACCUCAAUGUGGAUCACUGUUACCCUGGCACCCUACCAAAGGUCAUUUGCACAAUUUGAUAAGGUCACGUUCACAUCCCCAAGAUCAAGAUGACCCUUUGCCCUCAAAGCGAUGCAAUAAGGCAGCUGCAAUGGGUAGAUGUACAGUAAGGUAAUAUUAAUAACGCCAAAAUGAUGGGGCACCCAUCACCAUUUUGGCAUGGUGGUAGAUCGCAGCUAUGCUGUUAUUGAGGUCAUGGCUUUAGAAGAGCUUAUAUUAAUUUUGGUUCUGUUGGUAAAAGUAAUCAAUUCUAAAUAUUAGAUAAAAGCAUAAAUGACAGGGACACCUAUUAGGUAUAGAUGCAUAGUGGUAGCAUAAGGAAAUUUUUUUUAGAAGGACGGGAAAGGAGUCUUUAGGCUAAUUAUCUCGAAGGUAUAAACAAUGGACCUUGAUUUCUAUAUAAACCCUAUUAAUGGUAGUUAACAAGGUUGUGAUAUCAGAAAGAAAUAACUGUUUUGGGCACUAAAGUGGCAUCCCAAAUGUAUCUCUCCUUAUUUUCCCAUAUGUUCUCUUUCAUCUCCGUGAGCAAUCAAGCACAGCACUGGCAGCUCUCUCCUUUCUCUUUUCCUCCCAAAUCCGGGCGGAGUACACCAGUGCCACGUUAGCUUGGGGAAAUCACGAAGUUUUUUUUGGAGAAAUCAACACACCUCAGUCAAUUUUGAAAUAAUUUUGACAACAGUAUUUAUCAGAAAGAGGUCUUCCUAGUUUCAUGCUAAAGCCUCCAUAAUUAACAUAUACAAUUUAUUUAUUCUACAUACGGAAGAUGAUGGCUUUGGUUAUAGAAUCCAAGAACAAGUACAACUAGAACAACCUCCCUCAUCUUGAUGCCAAGCUGGACAGCAAAAAGUCUUUGUAUUCUACUAGAUGAAUGAAACGAAAAGAUGAGACGUAGUACAGCCACGUCCAAUUCAGUGAAAUCAUACGAGCAAACUAAAAUCCGAUAUGAUCUGGAUAUUAUACCAACUGUUUCCCUAUGCUAUCGUUUGGCUGAAUCUAUUGAGGCCACCAGGACAUGGACCUGGAGUGAUGUUAAUAUCUUGGAGCCUGAUGUUAACAUCACUUUAGAGUUGAUCUCCACCGACUCGGUCCAACAACCGAGUCGGACCCUAUCUCGCGCCUUGAUCGGGGGCGCACAACCAACUCAUGAUUCCCACUCGUUGCUGCAAAUGAUCCUGUCCAGAAUGCCAGCGUGGGUAAGCAAUGCCCACAAAUGUGUGAUAAACUCCCUCCGUUUGCCAGGCAUUUGACAUGCGCCUUCACAUUAUCCAAUGGCGCGAGGUAGAGCAACAUCAUAUCUCGGCCUAGAAAAUCUGCCAGCACCUUCCACUGGGUGCCCUCCAGUUGCUUGAUCUCCUCCCCAAUGAGCCCAAAGGCCCAUCGAGACCCUGAUCCGCGCCCUGAUCGGGGGCACCCACCCUAGCAUUGGGUGGUAGGCUCCUGUCGCGCUGCGCUAUAUAAACAGGGUGGGGACCAUGGCUCGGCUCACGAGGUUCGCCGCUGCCAGCCGCCCCACCGACACACCUACCGAUCUAGGUUUUGCGCAGUAGCGAUGGGAAGCAUCACCGCCGCCACGCCGGCGACUCGACACGACACUGCGCGUCGCUGCCUUGCGCAGACUUCCCCACGUGAACGUGAGAUGGCCAGCAGUUCUGCUGCUACCACCCCUAGGGGUGAAGGUACCCCUACCCCUCUCUCUCUAUUGCUCUCGGUUGACACCAGAAACCUCAAGACCUUCAUGUUGAUUGUAAUCCUGACUAGAUAUGCAUUUAGAGAUCUUAGGCAUGCACAAUUCCCCAGCCUCACUGUACGCCGUCAUACAGUUGAUGCUUCCCAGGGCCAUGACAAAUGGGAAAAGACAUGCCCGAAGCAGUUCGCUCGCCGCAAACAGAAGGAGAUGACCGAGCAAAACCAAGUGUGUCGAUCAGCAGAGGCCAGAGGGGGGUUUAUGGUUUAUACAUUCACCAUCUGCUGGCACAGUUGAUCUUGAUUCAUGGAGGGACGACAGGUUCUGCCUGGUAUCAGCCUUAAUUAAUAAAGAAUUAUGAGAUCCUGAACUAAAUACGCAAGGGGAAAAAAAUAGAUUUGACUAUGAGCGAUGCCAUAUAUUCUGAACUACAUAAUACUAUGUGACAACAGACAACAAGCUUGCCGAGGACAAUCCUAACCAAAUCGACUAAGCAAAGGAGUGAUAGACAGCUGACAAAGUGACAAGCAUAAAGCAUACCUUGAACAGAGGCAUACCGUCGAAUCGGGCGCGGAUCCAUCAAGUGGAGAUGAGCACCACCACCAGGCCCUGGACUCUGGAGUGCUUGUGCUUAACUAAUUAUUAGCUCCAUCCAUCUGUGCAAAUGGCCGUCCAAUAAUUUUUCCUGGUCGCAACUGGCCAAGGAAGAAGGAACCCUGCCUGCAUCAGAAAAUCAGACGACGACGCACGAGAAGAUGCAUUCCAAACAGCCAUAGGAAUACGCAAUUUAAAAUGACCCUCCACGAGGACGACUAUGCCUCGUUCGUAGGAGCAUCAUGGUGUGAGAGUGAGCUGGGUGCUCUCCGGGAAAGAGACACGGUUGCAGGGCGAGGCAUCCGGGUUAAAAGAAGCACGCAUAUGAGAGUUGUUUAUCAUUCAUCAAGCAGAGAGCAAAUGAUACAAAGUGCGGCAAUACACACGACCAGGGGUAUUUUGUCUGAAACAAGUUGACGAAUACAUGAAAAGAACCAAUAAUGAUAUAUAGUACAGCGGCAAGCACUGUGAGAAACAGAUGGCCAAGGCCUCAAUGGUAGAGGUCAACAACACCAGCAUCCUUCCAAUUAGACUUGCAGUAAUAAGAAGUCACUAAAGCACACCAGGACAACAAUUAUAUAUCUUGAACAAUUAAAAAAGUGAACAAGUGGCAGGUCAAUAUCAGCAUAAGUGAUCAGGGCUUGCUGAAAGUUUCCUUUGAUGAGAAUCUGCAAGUUCAAAAGUAAACUAUUAUGAGUUAUGACUAAGGUGAAGAUGGGUUGAACCCAUUUUUGAAAUUGAGUACCGCUUAAAUUUCAGUACCUGAGUUCGAAUAAUGCAACCAGCAGGAUCUGUGAAGUGCCCAAUAUAAAUUUCAAUGACUGACACAGAGCAAUUUAAUGAUAGCAACAAUACUCACUAUUAUGAUCAAAUCACUAUGAUCUCAUUGGGAGCUCCUUCCACAAUCCGCACUGGACUUUCCUGUUGAAGGACCAUGCAUCCCUAUUGCUGAAAAACAAUAUCAUCAUUAGCUAAGACAAUUCCAUUGAUUGGAGCACAAAAGCCUAUAUAAUACUAUUUGGAACAUAUGUUGAUAGAGAGAGAGGACUUACGUUGGACGCGAUGCUGGUUGAUUCCCUCCAUUAUUUUCUAUGUCGGCGAUGUCGCUUUGACCCCUGUCCAGGAUGCCAGCGUGGGUGAGCAACGCCCACAGGUGUGUUAUGAACUCCCCUCCUUUUGCCAGGCACUCGACGUGCUCCUUCACAUUGUCUGAUGGCGCGAGGUAGAGCAGCAUCUCUGCCCAAAAUCCCGCCAGCACCUCCCAACAACGGUCAGCGUGCACAUUCUUGAGCUGCUCCCCCAGCUUUAGGCCCUUGCGGUAAAUCGUCUCCUCAUCCCCAGCAUCCCUCAAUGCUUCUUGUGCAACCACCGUAAAAGCGAGCCAUGUAUCGUAGUGGUGACCCGGGAGAAGCUUUGGUGCAAAAGCCACCAAGUAUGCACAAUAUUUGGACAGUCUUGUGGCGACCUCAUAAUGUUCAUUGGUACCUGAUGCUGAUAAUUCCUUGUCGCAGUAGCAUGUUGCGAUGUGCCAGGUCAGAAUAACACACACCUGGUUCUCCUUCUGCUGCAAGGACACCGAGCCGAGCUCGAGGCCUUGGCGAAGCUCGAGGCUGCAAGCCCACAAUAGCUCAUAUGCCCCGCUGGACGACAGUGAUAACGCCCCGUUUGUCAGCUUAUUACCAUGGCGAUGGGUGCGUUCAAGGGACUGGACAAGUGCCUUCUUUACUGCUGCAAGCAACUCUGCAGGUUCACCAGGCUUCCAGACGACACUCCAUACGUGACGUGGUACAGCUGGACGACGCACCAUACGCUCCGUAAAUGGAUUAAGCUUGAAUGGAUUGGAGAAUAGCCCCUUUAGAAAUACAUUCCAGGGCUUGACCAUGAACUUGGUAAGCUUGGAUUGACUAGAGAAGUUGCUCACUGAUUCAAGCAACGAAUACUGCUCGAGCUUUUGCUCGUGUACUGACCAGCGGCAGGUUGACACCCACAUACCAAUGGUGACAAGAAUCUCUUUAAGCCCCAUGCAGCGGCGCUACCCUUCUGAUACGCUGGCAAGCAAAAGAUACCCUGCCCCAAAUGGUCGUCGGGUAGUACAUCACCUGCACCACUUGAAGGAAAGAGAUGCACACAAGUAUAGCUACGGUGAGAUAAACAUCAGCUGCUGUGGUGUCCACAAUGACAGACCCCUCCAUCCCUUCAGAAGGAGGCCGCAGCAGGCCUCGAGCCGUCAGGAAGGCUGUUACGACCGUUAAGGUCGCUGAGACCAGUGGCAGCACAUAUUGCGUACAUAAAUUUCCAUAAUAAAUGGCAGCAUACUUGGUGAAGAAGAAGUCAUACAUAAAAGCCAGCUCAAUCUCAAUCACCUUGAAAAUCCAGUCAUAGUCGAUUGCGGCGCUGGCCCCUCCAUCGUCAUUCUCCUUCUUCUUCUUGGCGAGCAGCCCCUUGAAGACAAGAUCACGUGUCUUGGGCUGCGAUGAUUCACCGCACUCAAACCCGAAGAAACGUCUCCGUAACAGAUGGAAAAGGGAGAAGGAAAGGCAUGCAUCCUUAAGAUCAGGGCUUAGAUCGUCGUUUCGCCACACCUUGUCUAGGUCAAUGAUGAUUGGAUCAGAAGGGCCUCUAAUUCUGAACCGCGUUUCAUACUUUCCAAUAUAUGUAGAAAUAGGAUCCACGGUGCACUCCACGAGGUAAUGGUAACCUGUCAUGGUGGCUGGAUCCUAAUCUUCUCCGCUAAUGGUGUGCUCAUGAUACAUGUAAUCAGCAACCAUUUUAUUCAACAACCAUGAUUCGCUUGCCAUUCGACAUGCCGCUAACCUUUGCGCAAAAUACACGGCUGCGACGGCCAACAGAGAAGUAAGCGGGAGCACUCUGAAAAUUAAAUAACCUUACCGCCUCCUGGCAUCCCCUGAAAUGUUUUUUCCUUUCGGUUGGAUGCUUCAGUUGGUGGAUAUCAACAGUAAUUCGUUGGUUCCUGCAUCUAUCAUGUGUAAUGGCCUACAUGCCUGAUCCGGCCGACCAACCCACCAGUGAAAUUUGCCCUUAGUAGCUUUCCUUCGGUUCUCCUCCCGAAAGGGAAAGAAUUCCUGGUGUCUCAGUUCUCCAGAAUUGCCCCACCAGACCAAAGCUAUCCAACAAGACCUAGCUUGUUGGUUCUACUGUUUCGGUAGUUCAGAGGGUUGAUUCCCAUGUAGGCAAAAACAAGAAUUCUUGUUCAUCAUGAGAGUAAAAAGAAUAAUUGAGGCAUCCGGGUAAAAAUAAGCACGCAUGAGAGCUGUUUAUCAUUCAUCAAGCAGAGAACAAAUGAUACAAAGUGCGGCAAUACACACGGCCAGGGGUAUUUUGUCUCAAACAAGUUGACGAAUACAUGAAAAGAACCAAUAAUGAUAUAUAGUACAGCCGCAAGCAUUGACCAAAGUACAUGAGAAAUAAAUGGCCAAAGGCCUCAAUGGUAGGAGAUCAACAACACCGGCAUCCUUCCCAUCAGACUUGCAGUAAUAACAAGUCACUAAAGCAUACCAGGAUAACAAUUAUCUUGAACAAUUAAAAAAAUGAAGAAGUGGCAGGGCAAUAUCAGCAUAAGUGAUCAGGGCUUGCUGAAAGUUUCCUUGGAUGAGAAUAACAGAGCUUUCCUAGAAUCUGCAAGUUCAAAAGUAAAUUAUUAUGAGUUAUGACUAAGGCGAAGAUGGGUUGGACCCAUUUUUGACAUUGAGUAGCGCUUAUAUUUCAGUAUCUAUUAUUUUUUCAAUGACUGACACAGAGCAAUUUAAUGAUAGCAACAAUACUCACUAUUAUGAUCACUAUGAUCUCAUCGCGAGCUCGUUCCACAAUCCGCACAAGACUUUCCUGUUGAAGGACCAUCCCUGUUGCUGAAAAACAAGAUCAUCAUUAGCUAAGACAAUUCCAUUGAUUGGAGCACCGAAGCCUAUAUAAUACUAUUUGGAACAUAUGUUGAGAGAGAGAGAGAGACUUACGUUGGACGCGAUGCUGGUUGAUUUCCUCCAUUAUUUUCUAUGUCGGCGACGUCGCUUUGACCCCUGUCCAGGAUGCCAGCGUGGGUGAGCAAUGCCCACAAGUGCGUUAUAAACUCCCCUCCUUUUGCCAGGCACUCGACGUGCUCCUUCACAUUGUUUGAUGGCGCGAGGUAGAGCAGCAUCUCCGCCCAAAAUCCCGCCAGCACCUCCCAGCAAUGGUCAGCCUGCAUAUUCUUGAGCUGCUCCCCCAGCCUUAGGCCCUUGCGGUAAAUCGUCUCCUCAUCCCCAGCUUCUUGUGACUGCUGCUGCUUCAAUGCUUCUUCUGCAACCAGCAUAAAAGCAAUCCAUGUAUCGUAGUGGUGACCCGGGAGAAGCUUUGGUGCAAAAGCCACCAAGUAUGCACAGUAUUUGGACAGUCUUGUGGCGACCUCAUAAUGCUCAUUGGUGAUGGCACUACCUGAUGCUGAAAAUUCCCUGUCGCAGUAGCAUGUUGAGAUGUGCCAGGUCAGAAUAACACACACCUGGUUCUCCUUCUGCUGCAAGGACACCGAGCCGAGCUCGAGGCCUUGGCGAAGCUCGAGGCUGCAAGCCCACAAUAGCUCAUAUGCCCCGCUGGACGACAGUGAUAACGCCCCGUUUGUCA
Molecule: long non-coding RNA, 7892 nt
Filed under: Setaria italica (foxtail millet)
Lineage: Eukaryota; Viridiplantae; Streptophyta; Magnoliopsida; Poales; Poaceae
Description: long non-coding RNA (SITA_LNC000807)
Source: RNAcentral